This 957-nucleotide long non-coding RNA is filed under the name Ricinus communis (castor bean). RNAcentral describes it as "long non-coding RNA (RCOM_LNC002648)". The record is from RNAcentral. Lineage: Eukaryota; Viridiplantae; Streptophyta; Magnoliopsida; Malpighiales; Euphorbiaceae.
ACAUGUACAAGGAAAACCAACAAGAGAGAUGACGAGAACUGACUUGAAGAUUGGAAAACGGCUCAGGCUCUCUUUAACUGUCUUCCUGUCUUUGAUAAUCUUGAGUAUUAUUUCUGUUGCAGAUUCUCUUGAUGGCAAUGCAAACUCCUCCUGCAAUGACACACCCGAUGUGUGUCCAUUGCCUGUCUUCGCCGCCCAGUAUAUCAGUUAUGGGAGUUUAGGAAGGCAGGCAUUUUGCAAUUCAGAAAUAUACGGCAACUGCAUAGAACGGGCCGGCGGGAAUACUCGGCCUUGCACUUACUAUACAAGAUGCAGAGGCUGAGGCAGUCAAAGAAUGAGGAAGAGAGACGGCUAGAUGCCAGGUCUGCACAUCUAUGUAAUAUAAUUAUCCUGAGAAUAAAAAUUUGCUUCUCUUUUUUCUUUUUCUUUUUCGUGUCUGCUUAGUGUUAUAAAAAAAUUUAAUUCGUGUUGUACUUUAUAUAUUAAUGUAAAAAGAAUCACAAGCAUCCGUUCUAUAAUAGUAGUUUAUUUUCAUCUUAGAUAUGAACUAAAAGAAAAUUAAGUUUAUUUAAUUGAUGCCAUUAAAUUUUAUUGUUUUAUUCUUUUUAAUUUAUGAGAGGGUUCUCUUUUUUCUUUUUUUGUUUUGGUUGUUCACCGCUCAUGAAGAAGCUGGAAUAACUCAGAAAGAUAGUGGCGCCUAGAUGUUGAGAACGUCUGACGUGUAGAGGAACAGUAUGAUCUUGGACUGGCCCUUCGGAUGACCUAGAAAGGAAAAGAGAAUUUCUAAAGCCCCUUAUCAGGCUUAUGAAAGAGAAUAAGUGAAAAUUUUUACUAAUUAUAAAAGGUAAAAAUUGAUCUAGAUAGUGAGUAAAAGAUUUAAAUUUAGAUAUUUUUAUUCUCAAAAAUAAAUAUUUUAACCACUUGAACUAAAUUUUUAAUGUUUUAUUUAUAAUAUAC